CUGAGUUAGGGUUUUUAUGGCCCGACCUCCAACCCUUUGUUUAUUAUACCAUGUUGCUUUGGCGGGCCUGCCUUUCGGGGCUGCCGGGGGCACUGCCGCCCCUGACUCGUGCCCGCCGGGAGCCUUCCUUAAAUUCGGCGUCAAACUGUGUUGUCUGAGUCCCAACAUCAAAUUAUAAA
Molecule: unclassified non-coding RNA, 179 nt
Filed under: uncultured Chaetothyriales
Lineage: Eukaryota; Fungi; Ascomycota; Eurotiomycetes; Chaetothyriales
Description: sequence contains ITS1
Source: RNAcentral